This 1364-nucleotide ribosomal RNA is filed under the name uncultured bacterium. RNAcentral describes it as "bacterial SSU rRNA". It matches the Rfam family "Bacterial small subunit ribosomal RNA", at positions 28 to 1381 of the family's 1533-position model. The record is from RNAcentral.
AUUGAACGCUGGCGGCAGGCCUAACACAUGCAAGUCGAACGGUAACAGGAAGAAGCUUGCUUCUUUGCUGACGAGUGGCGGACGGGUGAGUAAUGUCUGGGAAACUGCCUGAUGGAGGGGGAUAACUACUGGAAACGGUAGCUAAUACCGCAUAACGUCGCAAGACCAAAGAGGGGGACCUUCGGGCCUCUUGCCAUCGGAUGUGCCCAGAUGGGAUUAGCUAGUAGGUGGGGUAACGGCUCACCUAGGCGACGAUCCCUAGCUGGUCUGAGAGGAUGACCAGCCACACUGGAACUGAGACACGGUCCAAACUCCUACGGGAGGCAACAGUGGGGAAUAUUGCACAAUGGGCGCAAGCCUGAUGCAGCCAUGCCGCGUGUAUGAAGAAGGCCUUCGGGAUGUAAAGUACUUUCAGCGGGGAGGACGGGAGUAAAGUUAAUACCUUUGCUCAUUGACGUUACCCGCAGAAGAAGCACCGGCUAACUCCGUGCCAUCAGCCGCGGUAAUACCGAGGGUGCAAGCGUUAAUCUAAAUUACUGCGCGUAAAGGCGCACGCAGGCGGUUUGUUAAGUCAGAUGUGAAAUCCCCGGGCUCAACCUGGGAACUGCAUCUGAUACUGGCAAGCUUGAGUCUCGUAGAGGGGGGUAGAAUUCCAGGUGUAGCGGUGAAAUGCGUAGAGAUCUGGAGGAAUACCGGUGGCGAAGGCGGCCCCCUGGACGAAGACUGACGCUCAGGUGCGAAAGCGUGGGGAGCAAACAGGAUUAGAUACCCUGGUAGUCCACGCCGUAAACGAUGUCGACUUGGAGGUUGUGCCCUUGAGGCGUGGCUUCCGGAGCUAACGCGUUAAGUCGACCGCCUGGGGAGUACGGCCGCAAGGUUAAAACUCAAAUGAAUUGACGGGGGCCCGCACAAGCGGUGGAGCAUGUGGUUUAAUUCGAUGCAACGCGAAGAACCUUACCUGGUCUUGACAUCCACGGAAGUUUUCAGAGAUGAGAAUGUGCCUUCGGGAACCGUGAGACAGGUGCUGCAUGGCUGUCGUCAGCUCGUGUUGUGAAAUGUUGGGUUAAGUCCCGCAACGAGCGCAACCCUUAUCCUUUGUUGCCAGCGGUCCGGCCGGGAACUCAAAGGAGACUGCCAGUGAUAAACUGGAGGAAGGUGGGGAUGACGUCAAGUCAUCAUGGCCCUUACGACCAGGGCUACACACGUGCUACAAUGGCGCAUACAAAGAGAAGCGACCUCGCGAGAGCAAGCGGACCUCAUAAAGUGCGUCGUAGUCCGGAUUGGAGUCUGCAACUCGACUCCAUGAAGUCGGAAUCGCUAGUAAUCGUGGAUCAGAAUGCCACGGUGAAUACGUUCCCGGGCCU